CGUAGGUGGCAAGCGUUGUCCGGGAAUUAUUGGGCGUAAAGCGCGCGCAGGCGGUUUCUUAAGUCUGAUGUGAAAGCCCCCGGCUCAACCGGGGAGGGUCAUUGGAAACUGGGGAACUUGAGUGCAGAAGAGGAGAGUGGAAUUCCACGUGUAGCGGUGAAAUGCGUAGAGAUGUGGAGGAACACCAGUGGCGAAGGCGACUCUCUGGUCUGUAACUGACGCUGAGGCGCGAAAGCGUGGGGAGCGAACAGGAUU
RNAcentral lists this ribosomal RNA (255 nucleotides) under uncultured bacterium. RNAcentral describes it as "partial 16S ribosomal RNA". It matches the Rfam family "Bacterial small subunit ribosomal RNA", at positions 526 to 779 of the family's 1533-position model. The record is from RNAcentral.